Long non-coding RNA from Lynx canadensis (Canada lynx), 4866 nucleotides. RefSeq lists it as uncharacterized. The record is from RefSeq and is a predicted model, not a curated record. The transcript is spliced from 4 exons. NCBI's taxonomy places the organism in Eukaryota, Metazoa, Chordata, Mammalia, Carnivora, Felidae.
GGGCCCCACGGGGAAGCACCAGGGGCUGGUAGGAGGCAGAGACGUGGGCAGGAACCUUUACUGUGGUUUCUACAGGACGAAAAGGCAAGCCGCCCCCUUCGGCAGUGGAUGAACACCAGCGAUGUGUCUCUGGUCUCCUCGACCCAAAGAAGCGCGCCAUCGCUGACCCUUCCUGCCUCACUGUCCCCAUCACCUCCCACUUCUGGACUCCUGGCUCACAGGCCCCUGGUGGCUCCGCUGUGGCUCCUGCCUGCUUUUGCUGCACAGUGUUCUCAGCCUGAGAAAGCCUGAUGCACCCAAGCCCUGACCCCCAACCUUCACGCGAGUCUUUGGCAUCUAGUGGGAGAGACAGCAGCCUCCGGAUACAACACAGCUCGUACCCCAAGAGAGGCAGGUGCCAGCCCGACCGCCCAGUGGCCCUCCUGGCUCCGGUUCCAGAGUGCACACCUAUCCAGGUUCCCUGUCGCGGCUACAACAAACGACCUCAGCCACGGUGGCUUAAAGCUACGCAGAUUUAUGAGCCUGCAGUCCUAGAGGGCACAAGUCCUAAAAUCAAGGUGUUGGCAGGGCCAAGAUCGUCCCGGAGGCUUUGUGGCCGAUCUGUGUCCUCACCUCCUCCGCCUUCUAGAGUGGCCUGCACGCCCCGACUCAUGGCCUUCCUCCUCCUGCAAAGCCAGCCAUGAAGCACCUUCCGGUCUCUGCCUCUGCAGCCUGCUUCUGUCACCACUCUCCUUCUCUGACCCUCUGGCCUCCCUGUCCUCAGGACCCUUGUGAUGACAUGGGGCCACCUGGAUAAUCCAGGAUCAUCUCAUCUCCAGAGCCUUAACCACAUCUGCAGUCCCUUUUGCUAUGUAAGGUGACAUAUUCUCAGGUUCUGGGGAUCAGGACAAUGGACAUCUUGUGGGGGGGAGCAUUAUUCUGCCUGCCGCAGCACCCAUGGGGGUCACACUUCUGAGACAGGUACCCACGAAACACUUCUUCAGGGAAGGGAUAUGUGGACCCAGUUCUGGAAAAUGGUGGGUCACCCAGAUGUGAUCUGAAGGCCUUUGACAUCAGCCCGAGAAGCCAGGCAAGGGAGACCCCUUUCCAGGCUCAGUUCUGCAAAGUGAGGGAUUCUCACCCGGGGCAAUUCUGCCCCCAAGGGACACCUGGCAACGUCUGGAGAGAGAGGUGGUUGUCACAGCAGGAGAGGAGGGACGCCCCCUCACCACAAAGAAUCCUCUGGCCCAAUGGCCAGUGCCCCUACAGCAUAGCUACUCGCACCUGUCUCCUGGCCGUGUCUCCAAACCCCAAGGGGCUCCACCACCCCCUUGGAGGGUUUCUGCUCAAUGACCUUUGGCCUCUGACACCAGUCCCGCCUUUCUUGAGAAAAGCAGUUUUCAGUUUCUCCUGACCCUUGGCCUGCACUGGGUACAUUUGAGUGGGUUGGACACUCCUAGCUGGGGAAUUUGAAGGCCCAGGAAGAAGAGGAUGGAACAGGAGCAGUGCUUUCCACCCACCCCACCCCACCCUUCCCCACCCCUCCCCACCCCACCCCUCCCCAGGCUGACUGCCCUGGCCUCUGGGUCCCCAUGCUGGGAAAGUGAGGCAGAUGGUGUGCUAAGGACACUGGUCACUGGGUGGGGACUAAGCUAGUUCACUCACGCAGCACAGGGCAGCAGGUGACAGACCCGGGACAAAAGGAGGGAGUUGGGGGUGAGCUGUCCCCCUCCAUCUCCUUGUUGCUGCUGCCCUGUAACACAGUCAGCGACACCCCUGGAGUCAGAUGUGCGGUCACUGGGCCGGGGCAGGCGUGCAAGGGCCCCCAGCUUCGGGGGCCUGAUUUGCUGGUGGGGGCGGGGCUAGAGGCAGGCCCUGCCAGAACACAAUCAGCCCAGGCUAGGGUCUUGGAAGGGCCUGCUUCUUGUCCAUUCGGCCAGCAAACCUCUGACACCUGCCGGGUGCCGGGCCCUGUGCUGGGCAGCGGGGGUGACAAGACUCAGCCGGUCCCUCAAGGGGCCACAGUGACCAGGAAGAGCAGGGCUCAUGCUGGUGACUGCUUACCUGAGCUAGACCCCGUGCCGGGGGUCUCACCGCUGCUUUCUUCGUGGCAUGGUGGUGGGGGUAGGGGGACAGACUUACUGCCCUUCUAGGGGAAGGGACGGGGCACGUUGGCCAGGGAGGAGUCUGGGCCGAGCAAGCCCCCAGGCAGCAGUACAGAGAGGGGGAGGAAGGACAGCAUGUGUCCGUGGGGGCUCCCCUCGGUGUGAGACCGAGAAGACCCUUGCUCCUGGGGAUAGGAGGGUCGCUCUGGGAAGAUGGCCGGACCCCACUUUUACUCCUUGCUGCCCGUAGCUAAUCUGGCCGGCCUCUGUGGACUUCCAUGCGGCUGCUCUCUGGGCUGGAGUCCCUGAUGUAUGGCUCCCCAUCCCCCCACCGGGGCCCCAGGUCAGCCCCAUCCACAGAGAAUGGGGUGUCCAAGCCCCAGAAUCCUGCUUCCUGAAGCGUGGAAGGCUGGGCGGUGCCCACGGAUGACGAGGGGCCGCCUGAGCUCCUGGGCCAACCCCUGCGGGAACCCGGGGGGCUGUGGCACAAAUCACACACUUCCCUAGUGUUGUGGACUGAAUGGUGUCCCCACGUCCGGAACUCAUGUGUCACAGCCCCACCCUGCAGGACCUCAGAAUGUGACUGUGUUUGGAGAGAGGGCCUCUAAAGGAGGUGAUCAAGUUAAAAUGAGGCCAUCAGGGUGGGCCCUGAUCCAGUAUGACUGGUGUCCUUACAAAAAGGGGAAAUUAGGACACAGAUGCGCACCGAAGACCGUGUGAGGAUACGGGGGGGGUGGGGGGGGAGGCGGCCAUCUGCAGGCCAAGGAGGGACGCCUCAGAACAAACCAGCCCUGCCCACACCUGGAUCUUGGGCUUCUGGCCUCCAGAACGAACCAGGAGGAAAUAUUUUUUUAAACGAGAAGAAGACUGUAUUUAAAACAUACCAUCAGAUACAUAUAAUAGUAUCAACCGUUUAUUUAGGGGCGCCUGGUGUGUGACUCUUGAUCUUGGGGUUGUGGGUUUGAGCCCCAGGAUGGCGUACAAAGGACUCAAAAAUGAAAUCUUUAAAAAUACAACCAAAAACAUUUAUUUGAUGCUUUCAACGCGAGGAAACAAAUUUGUUGUUCAUAAACCACCCAGACCGGGCUGCCUGGUCAUGGCCGCCAGAGCAAACGCUACGUCCAGGGUCCAGGACGUACCUGAGACAGCGGCUUAUCGGGUGCCUACGGAUGUGGGGAAGGAACAAAGAUCAAGACAGACCCCCUCCUCCAUGGCCAUGGCUUCUCCACUCUCCUGUGUGGACCUGGUGCUUUAACUGCACUGAGGAGGGUCCUUCCCUCUAACCUCAACCAUCUUAAGCCACUGGGCCCCAGUUGAAUGGGGGAGUGGAAAGAACCCCCCCAAGAAGCCACCAUGAGCCGAUGACCCCCCACCCAGCUGAGGUCUCCUUCUCCACAGUGGUCCAUGCAAACUUUCUCCUCCGGACGCUCCUCUCUCCUAGACCCCACCCACCUCUCAUCUGCAUCCCACUUGGUCUUUCCUACUGUCCAUGCCCUUGGGCCCGUGCCCUACUCUCCCCCUCAUUUUUCCAGCCUGGGGUGGAGGGUCAUGUGCGGUGCAGGUGCGAUUCUGUGCCCCACCUUGUUCCCGUACAUCAUGAGCUCUUUAUUUAGCACCACGGUCCCAGCCAGUGGCCCCCCUCUGCCGAUCUCUGGGAACGUGUGAUCCUGCGCCCACUUGAUCCUUCUGUAAAAUGGGGCUAAGAGGACCCAGCUCAGAGGCUGACUGUGAAGACUGAACUGCAUCCACACAGUGGUCCGCCUGGAGGCGGGGAGCCCCUCUUAUUCCAUACGGUUGCAGGCCUCCUGUCUUUUCUAGCGGACGUGCAAUUCACCGAGCCAGCCUCACCUCUGGGCAUUCAGGUUGAUGCCAAGCCAAAGGAGAAAAAGUAACAUCCUCCUUCAGACAGCCCUUCCACGGGUGACUCAGGAUCACUGUGAGUGGUACGACCACAGGGGCAGAAUAUGAACCCUCUUCUGUGCUGGGCAGGUAUCUUAAAAUGGGUGUCUUCCCAAUUUAAUGGGGCUGCCGCCCCCGAAGAAAGCCAACGUGGGGGGUCCUGGCAUGAUCUUCACCUGGACUAGCCCUCAUCCUUGGGCCUCGACAACUCGGUGGGAGAGCUGCUCUGAGGUUUGUUGACUCUCCCCUCCUGCGAACUGUUUUUGAUCUUUGCUCCUUUGGUUCUUAUCGAUUUGUGUGAGCUUUUAAUAGACUGAUAACCCCUGGCUUGUUCCUAUCACACAACUGGCUCUUGACACAGAGUUCAGGGUGCCCGGAGCGCUCCGAGAAAGGCUGCUGGGUGUGCUUUGGGUAUUUUGUCUGGGGAGCUGGGAGGUUUGAAGAUUUUUUAUGAUACAGGGAGUGUGGGUGUUGAGGGGGGGGGGGGUGCAGAACCUGGUAACAGAAACAUCCAUCCUUUGGUGCUCCAGCCCCAGCUCGUCAGGGGCGGGUGGGAGGCACCGUGCACGUGGACUGUGGCGAGUACGUGAGUCCCUGGCCUGCUCCCUGGGGGCUGGAGGAAGAACAAGGCUGGAGAAGCGUCGCAGAGGCUACCUCCCUGCCAGUGACUCGCGAGCACGAAGUCUCCAGCUCAUUUAUAAAGACAAGAUCAGGGAAGCCAGCCUGGUGGUUUCUUAAAAAGUUAAACAUAGCGUUACCACGUGACCCAGCCAUUCCACUGCUGGCUGUACACCCAAGAGCGUGGAAACCAUGUUCGUAGGGGCGCCUGGGUGGCUCAGUUGGUUAAGCGUCUGACUUGAAUUUGGCUCAGAUCUCGACCCUA